Molecule: long non-coding RNA, 789 nt
Organism: Manis pentadactyla (Chinese pangolin)
Lineage: Eukaryota; Metazoa; Chordata; Mammalia; Pholidota; Manidae
Exons: 3
Source: RefSeq, a predicted model, not a curated record
GGGUCGUUCCCAGCAGCCAGGAGGGCUGUACAGGCACAGGCAGGAGGCGAAGCGUCAGGCCUUGGGAAACUGAUGGGCGCCGCCAAAGACGGACAAGGUGGGCAAACCUCACAGCAAUUCACACCCUUGGAGAACAUCCAGCAGAGGGACUCAUGACUGUAAGGCCCUGUGCCAGGCAGGGGGGAAACAAAGACGAACCCAAAGACCGUGUCCUCUGGGAGCCUACAGCCCAGUAACAGAGGAGAUAAGAUACGUGGUGAUGCCGAAAGCUCAGCUGGAUGAUCUGAUACAAAGUACACACCGCAGCUCAGGGCCUGAGGAUAAUUGGGAGAAUCCCCGCUGUCACACACCAGGAAUCAGGGGGCACAUCCUGCCCUGUAGGGCCUGAAGGCUCUGAGGGCAACACUUCACCUUUGGAAACAUAGACUCUGCAAGGAUUUGUCUCCAGGCAGCGCUACAGCCUCUUCUGGCACCAGGGAGACUGCUGCCUCUGUCCCGGUUCCAGGCACUACCAGAGGGGAAGGGAGCAGGGCCGGGCAUGCUUCCCUGAGAUAGGUGGGCCUUCCCCCAGCCCCUCUGUGAGAGGCACACGGCCAACGCCUGGGGCUGGUGCUGACUCGGUGAAAGGUGGGCAGCCUGAAGGACAGGUUUCUUUUUUGUGAAACCAACUCGGUGAUCCAUCCCCACUGCCUACACUGCACUCACACGUCGUGAAUGUGACAGCCUGCGUUUGGGCUGGAGCUGCAGCUUUAUUAGGCAUUGCAGCAGCUGCACAGGCUUUUCUUCUCC